CGAAUGCUGACGUGAGUAACGACAAAACGGGUGAAAAACCCGUUCGCCGAAAGACCAAGGGUUCCAGUCCAACGUUAAUCGGGGCUGGGUGAGUCGACCCCUAAGGCGAGGCCGAAAGGCGUAGUCGAUGGGAAAAUGGUUAAUAUUCCAUUACUUCUGUGUAAUGCGAUGAGAGGACGGAGAAGGCUAAAUCAGCCUGGCGUUGGUUGUCCAGGUGAAAGGAUGUAGGCAUGUAUCUUAGGCAAAUCCGGGGUACUCUAUGCUGAGAUCUGAUAGCAAGCUGUACUUGUACAGCGAAGUGGUUGAUGCCAUGCUUCCAGGAAAAGUCUCUAAGCUUCAGUUACACAGGAAUCGUACCCGAAACCGACACAGGUGGUCAGGUCGAGUAGACCAAGGCGCUUGAGAGAACUCUGCUGAAGGAACUAGGCAAAAUGGUACCGUAACUUCGGGAGAAGGUACGCUGUUGUUGGUGAUGGAACUCGCUUCCUGAGCUGACGACAGCCGCAGAAACCAGGCCGCUGCAACUGUUUAUUAAAAACAUAGCACUCUGCAAACACGAAAGUGGAC
This 567-nucleotide ribosomal RNA is filed under the name Acinetobacter baumannii. Its description in RNAcentral is "partial 23S ribosomal RNA". It matches the Rfam family "Bacterial large subunit ribosomal RNA", at positions 1291 to 1842 of the family's 2925-position model. The record is from RNAcentral. Lineage: Bacteria; Pseudomonadati; Pseudomonadota; Gammaproteobacteria; Moraxellales; Moraxellaceae.